GAUGAACGCUGGCGGCGUGCCUAAUACAUGCAAGUCGAGCGAACAGACGAGGAGCUUGCUCCUCUGACGUUAGCGGCGGACGGGUGAGUAACACGUGGAUAACCUACCUAUAAGACUGGGAUAACUUCGGGAAACCGGAGCUAAUACCGGAUAAUAUAUUGAACCGCAUGGUGCAAUAGUGAAAGACGGUUUUGCUGUCACUUAUAGAUGGAUCCCGGCCGCAUUAGCUAGUUGGUAAGGUAACGGGUUACCAAGGCAACGAUGCGUAGCCGACCUGAGAGGGUGAUCGGCCACACUGGAAGUGAGACACGGUCCAGACUCCUACGGGAGGCAGCAGUAGGGAAUCUUCCGCAAUGGGCGAAAGCCUGACGGAGCAACGCCGCGUGAGUGAUGAAGGUCUUCGGAUCGUAAAACUCUGUUAUUAGGGAAGAACAAAUGUGUAAGUAACUAUGCACGUCUUGACGGUACCUAAUCAGAAAGCAACGGCUAACUACGUG
This 497-nucleotide ribosomal RNA is filed under the name uncultured bacterium. RNAcentral describes it as "partial 16S ribosomal RNA". It matches the Rfam family "Bacterial small subunit ribosomal RNA", at positions 28 to 507 of the family's 1533-position model. The record is from RNAcentral.